UGUUCAUAUAAUUACAUUUGUAUUAUUGUAAGGGCAGACGGUGUCGGAGAGCUGCGCAGGCAAUCAUAACCAAAUCCUAACUCGGGAAUCCUAACUUUGGGGACAUUUAUUCCCAAAAGGCACUGAAAUCCUGAAAUAAAACCACUCCUGACAAUUGAUGGCUUGUCCUUGCCAAUAUCACUCGGAGAGAUCACUGUCCAUGCUCCUGUGUCCGGAGCCCACUCAUGUGAAGGCUGCGUUGGAAGUUCUGAGUAGGUCUGCUCAGGAGAGCAGAAAGCAGCUGGUGGUGGAGAUACUGAAGGAUCCUAAGAGAGAGCGCUACAUCAGGACACUAGAAUAUUUACUCAGCUCCACAGACUCGUGGCUUUGCAGUACCGCAGCCUAUCUUCUUGGAGUCCUGGUGGAGAGAGAGGAGGUUGUGCAGCAGCUCAAGGACAAGGCUCCAAAGGGCAGCAACAGCCUUGUUGGGACUCUAGGGAAGCUCCUAACCAGACAUGAUCCAGACAUUGUGAUGAAUGCUGCUGGUGCUUUAGCCUCUUUGGUUGAGAGCUCGGCUGGACGUGGGUGGCUACAGAGAGACCAGGCUGUGUUUGGUCAGCUCUUGACCAGCCUGUUGACCCUGCUGGACCACGGACCGGAGAGCAUGGUGAACUCUGCUGCCCUGAUCCUGGCCAGGCUGUCCCUGUGUGAUGUAGCCUGCCAAGGCCUGUUACGCCACCCCUCAGCCCCCAGCACCUUGGGCUGCCUGGUACAAUGCCUGGCACACAGCCAUACAGACACGGCUAUGAAUGCAGCCUUUGCUUUGGGUCGUCUGUGUGGAAGUGAAAGAGGCAGGAGUCUCAUUCUGACAUUUGCGCCAGAGUACCAACUGGUUCACAGUCUGCAAGCCCUCAUGAGUGAGGUGGCAGGGCCAGAGGCAGGACAGACAGCCUGUUUUGCAUUGAGUUGCCUAGUAACAGAAGAAGAUGGACACGCUCUGGUGCUGGGUAGCCCAUCCCUUCCCAGCCUUCUUGAUGCUCUUCUCUACCGCUUACAAACAGAAGACCAGGACAGUGCCUGGUUUGCUGCCAUGGCAGUGAAAGUGUUCGUGUCACGACCGGCAGGAGUGUUACACGUGCGAGAGCACAGGUCUCUGAGGGAGCGACUGAAGUCUCUCUCUAGCUCUCCCUCCAUUGGCAAGGAUCUCAGGGAGGAAGUGACCUCAUGUCUUAGGAAGCUGGAGCCACUUGUUAAGCCAUUGCCCCCGACAACUAGGCGCCUCCCAUCUGGGGCCUGCACUGUGUCAUGGGAGAAGUGUUUCCCUGAGAGUGGCCUAGAGGUCACUUACAGCCUUCUGGACAGAGAGAUAGUUCUGUAUCGUGGAACCCAAUGUCACGUGACUUUACCGGUAUCAGUCCUCAAACCUGGUCAUGAGUUCUCACUCCGACUGAUCCACUCUUCCGCUGAUGGAGACACCAGCCCCUGCAGCGAGCCUGUGCUAUUGGUCAUAGAAUCAGAGGAGACGGGGACAAGGCCUGGUCCUCCACAGAAGCUGCGCGUGAUUGGAUGCACAGCCUCUCAUGUGCGACUGAGUUGGGUUGCGCCGGCGGGUGAGCUGAAGCCCCAGGUGUAUCAGCUGUAUCGUGGGGAAACACUACUAGAUACCACAACAGAGCUGAGGGCUGUAGUGGGUGGUCUGUCCCCGGGAACCAUUUUCCAGCUGGGUGUGUGCGCAGUGGGGCCAGGGGAAGAGGUGGGCCCCUGUGCGGAGGUGGAGGUUCGUACAGCCAAGGACCAGGACCACGCACCCAGCGGCCUGACCAUGGUGGUGCUGGGCAGGCAUGAGCUGCAGAUCAUGUGGGGGGCUCCCCUGGUGCCCCUGGGUCGCCUGUUCAACUAUGAGCUGAGGCUGAACGAUUGCGUGGCUUACUUGGGCACGGCGUGUGCUCACACUGCCCGCCGUCUGGCCGCCAACACGGCCUACACCUGUACUGUAACGGCCAUCACCACCAGAGGGCGCUCUCAGAGCCGGUCCGUCACUAAGAGGACCGCUCGCGACGAGUACCCGUACACACAGAGGUGUCUGUACUCCUCCAGCCGUCAGCCUCCUCCUAAGAUUCCUUCAUCACCAACAGAGGUCAGACGAAAGGUCACAGAGAUCGGGGAAAAGGCCAAGAAACCCCACUCUGCACACGACCAUCUGACCAAGGUCCAUCUGUCCAGCAGGCAAUACAGAGGGCCUGAUCACGACAGAGAGAGACACAGGCAACCUUUGGUCUCCACUUCAUCUGCUGGCUGUGAAAGCAGCAAAAUGGAAUCAUCUGAGAUGAUGACCAUGGGGCUGGUGAAUGGAUAUGAUGCAAAGGCCUUAUGGAGGAGAGCCAAAGAGAGGGCAGGAGUAUCUGUCUUCCCUGCUGGGCUUCCAGUCCGGCCCCUGCUCCAUCUCCAGGCUAAGACUGAGGAAAACCUGCUUGAGAGGCAGUCCCACCGUGGCCUGGACCAGCAUUUAGACCCUUCAUGCCUCAGGGCCCAAAUAAGCCCAUGGAUGCUUCUCCAGUGGAGUGCUCUCAGAAGAGGACCUAGAGACAGAGGAAAACUCCCCUGUAUCCCCCAUCAUAUAGAUGCAGUGAAGUUAGUCCAUCCCAUUCCUCCCUCCUACCCACAACUGGACUGGACAGGAAACUAUAAAGACAAGCUGCUGAGAGACCGGACAAGGCUUUUGACAGGACCAAGAGUGCAGAGCGAAAUCCGAGGAAGACAUCCCCUAACAACAAACUGGACCAAGCUAAGCUGA
This is a long non-coding RNA of Oncorhynchus kisutch (coho salmon), 2773 nucleotides long. The record is from Ensembl. NCBI's taxonomy places the organism in Eukaryota, Metazoa, Chordata, Actinopteri, Salmoniformes, Salmonidae.